CCGUUACGCUGAGUGUGUCAUUGCUCCAGUGUCCGGGUGAACUUAUGGUUCAAGGGUCAAGUGUGUCAGGUGGGGUGUCGGAAUUUUUGGCACACCCCGACUUCUGUCUUAUGUAGGGUAAUUAAACCGGGGUAUAUAACCUGCGAGGAAAUUGGUGAAAACUACUUUCGACUUCAGAAUUUGAAGCGUUUACACUAGUGGAUUUUAACAGCCGUUUGGUAUCACAGCUCACAAGGCACCAACAUGAAAAGUUUCGCAGCCAUCACAAUCCUCCUCGCCACCAGUUUGGUUGUCAGUGCAUCUCAGCAAGACCAGACCAAAACUGACGUUAUAGGUAGACACAAUGAUUUGGCACGUGUCAAUCUGGGAACAGCAAUCAGUCUUAUCGUCCCAGUUGCUUUGGGUGUGGCCUUGAUUGCUUUUCUUGCACCCGUAUUCCAGGGACUCUUCGCAGCUCCUAUUCCCUUUGGUCCCACUCUUGGUUAUGCCAGGAACGGCAAAUCUUUAUUCUCUGGAAUCACCCAAGAAAACAUCAUGCAAGUGCUGGACACAGUCACGAAAGCCAUUGAGACCUUCGCGAAGGUUGACGGAAAUGAAGCCAGACCUAAGUCCCAGUGAUUUAGACUUUUAAAACUUUUUAAGCACUGUACAUAGUUAUUUUAUAGCUUUGAAUAAGAAUUUAACAAUCAGGAAAACAUAAGAAUUUAACAAUCCAUGUAGUUCAGAAACUUAAACUGUGUAGAACUUCAUUUCAUAAUAUGAUUGUAGAGAUAAGAGUAAAUGUAUUGAUACGGUCCAUGACGGCUCAUCAGUAUUAACAUGCAUUAUAAUUACUUUUCUAUUCAUCGAUAUUGCCCUUUACGAUGAUUCGCCAAGAAAAACAAAAAUUAUAAACCGUUCAUGAUCUGAUAAGUGAAUUAUUAUCGAUACCUUCCUGUUGAUUGAAAACGUUUAAGCUAAAAAUAAGACUAAAUUUAAAAAUAAGUUUUGUUUCUAUAAAUUAAUAUUAAAUUAGCAGUGGUUGAUAAACGACAAGUACCUAAGUCUUUUAAUACACUUGAAAAGUAAGCUAAAAUUUCUGAACUAACGAAAAUUUAAAAUUUAUUGAAAGGGCUAAACAUUUUAGAAAAUUAAUAUUUGUUAAAAAUACUAUCUAUACAAUUUUUUAAAAAAAAAUUAAAGGAAAAUUAUUUUAUAUUUCAAAUCGAAUUGUAAUUAUUUGAUGAUCUUUUAAAAAUAAUUGAUGUUUGUGAAAUGUGAGGAAAGAUAUCAAUUAAAAAUGCAUAAGUUCUUAAAACCUUGAAAUUAGUAAAAUUUAAGGAGUAGAUUUAAACAGUACCAGUACAAUAAAAAAUAUAAAUACUUUUCGAUGUUAAUAUUUUACAUUUGUGUCACGUCCAUAUUGACGAUGCAGGUCAUUGCCUAACUUAAAUUCAUAUUUGUGAAUUGUUUCCAUGAAUGAGUGUAUAUUUAAGUUAUUUUGUAAUAAAAUGUUUCCGAAAUAAUA
Long non-coding RNA from Stegodyphus dumicola, 1507 nucleotides. The record is from RefSeq and is a predicted model, not a curated record. Lineage: Eukaryota; Metazoa; Arthropoda; Arachnida; Araneae; Eresidae.